Molecule: long non-coding RNA, 1125 nt
Filed under: Ovis aries (sheep)
Lineage: Eukaryota; Metazoa; Chordata; Mammalia; Artiodactyla; Bovidae
Description: lncRNA (ENSOARG00000025320.1)
Source: RNAcentral
AGCCAUUCCUGGGCCGGGAAUUGCUUCCUUUUGUAAUUCCCUUUAUGGAAGGAAGAAAAGCAACUCCCCUCUGAGGUGUGGAAACCUAGCUUCCCGGGUACCCCACCACCUUGGACAGGUUCAGGGCCACUGAACAGCCUAGGUGAGGCUGGUCAGCAGAGGCUAAAGGCUCUGCAAACUCUCCCUUCCCUCUUGAAAUCACCGCUCUGCUCUGCCUCUCUCUGCUUCCUAACCCUGAAAGGUGAAAUCUGAGGUUGCAGCCGAGCAGUGGGUGUGAUCUGAACCCAAGGCAAGCUCGGGUCACUCUCGGGGUGCUCGGGCUUGCUGUGCUCCCCUGAGUGCAGGGAUCUGGGUGCAGCUGCGGUGCCUGGGGUUUCGCAGAGGUGGAACCUCGGUGCGCGCAGCCAGGGAACUGAGCCUCCCCCAACCAACCCCACAGCGAAACUGAACUCUGCACCGCCCGCGGCUCGCGCUGUGCCUGGUUGCCGGGAGGGUUGGGCGAGGGGGGAUCUCUCUGCAGACAAAGGGGUGCACGAGCCCCUAACGCCCCUCUUUCGCGACCGUGACGCCCUUCCCCAGUCCCAUACCCGGGAGCCACAGCAGCUGCCACCCCCAACUUCCACCACCCAGCCCCGGCGGCCUCGGCCUGUGCGCGCACUCGGGGGCUGGGGAUUGGUUCACACUCCCAUUCUGGGGCUGCGCCGGCGGGCGGGAGGUGCGCGGCGUUCAGUGUGUCUGUGUGUGUUUGUGUCUGUGUGUGUGUGCGCGCGUGCGCGCGUGUGUGUGCGCGCGUGUCUGUGUGUCUGUACCGCGCGCGGGCGGGCGCGUGUGUGUGUGCGCGCGGGGGCUCCAGUGCAGGAGCCGCUGGGUGUGCGUGCGUGUGUUAUGGGUUUGAUUCCAGAGCAGGUUGCACAUUGGUCCUGGGUGGCUCGCAGGCUCAGGUCGUGCUUGGGCGUCCUCCUCCUAAUCGUUUCCGAAGUAGCAGCAGGACGAGCACCGUUUGGGGAGUCCGGGGGGCGGGUAAGAGGGAGGAGGGGAAAGCCUGUCUUGGUCUUUGGGAUUAUUUUUCCCCUUCUUUCCCUCUCUCUCUCUUUCUUGAGGGUGUGUGUUACCCCCUCGAAGUGA